UCGAGCGGUAGCACAGGAGAGCUUGCUCUCUGGGUGACGAGCGGCGGACGGGUGAGUAAUGUCUGGGAAACUGCCUGAUGGAGGGGGAUAACUACUGGAAACGGUAGCUAAUACCGCAUAACGUCUACGGACCAAAGUGGGGGACCUUCGGGCCUCACGCCAUCAGAUGUGCCCAGAUGGGAUUAGCUAGUAGGUGGGGUAAUGGCUCACCUAGGCGACGAUCCCUAGCUGGUCUGAGAGGAUGACCAGCCACACUGGAACUGAGACACGGUCCAGACUCCUACGGGAGGCAGCAGUGGGGAAUAUUGCACAAUGGGCGCAAGCCUGAUGCAGCCAUGCCGCGUGUGUGAAGAAGGCCUUAGGGUUGUAAAGCACUUUCAGCGAGGAGGAAGGGUUCAGUGUUAAUAGCACUGUGCAUUGACGUUACUCGCAGAAGAAGCACCGGCUAACUCCGUGCCAGCAGCCGCGGUAAUACGGAGGGUGCAAGCGUUAAUCGGAAUUACUGGGCGUAAAGCGCACGCAGGCGGUUUGUUAAGUCAGAUGUGAAAUCCCCGCGCUUAACGU
Molecule: ribosomal RNA, 564 nt
Filed under: Serratia sp. (in: enterobacteria)
Lineage: Bacteria; Pseudomonadati; Pseudomonadota; Gammaproteobacteria; Enterobacterales; Yersiniaceae
Description: bacterial SSU rRNA
Rfam family: Bacterial small subunit ribosomal RNA
Source: RNAcentral